This 1145-nucleotide ribosomal RNA is filed under the name uncultured organism. RNAcentral describes it as "bacterial SSU rRNA". It matches the Rfam family "Bacterial small subunit ribosomal RNA", at positions 317 to 1476 of the family's 1533-position model. The record is from RNAcentral.
GACUGAGACACGGCCCAGACUCCUACGGGAGGCAGCAGUGGGGAUUUUCCGCAAUGGGCGAAAGCCUGACGGAGCAAGACCGCGUGAGGGAGGAAGGCUCUUGGGUUGUAAACCUCUUUUCUCAGGGAAGAAGCUCUGACGGUACCUGAGGAAUCAGCCUCGGCUAACUCCGUGCCAGCAGCCGCGGUAAUACGGAGGAGGCAAGCGUUAUCCGGAAUUAUUGGGCGUAAAGCGUCCGCAGGUGGCGAUUCAAGUCUGCUGUCAAAGCACGGGGCUUAACUCCGUUAAGGCAGUGGAAACUGAAUAGCUAGAGUGCCGUAGGGGUAGAGGGAAUUCCCGGUGUAGCGGUGAAAUGCGUAGAGAUCGGGAAGAACAUCAGUGGCGAAAGCGCUCUACUGGACGGCAACUGACACUCAGGGACGAAAGCUAGGGGAGCGAAUGGGAUUAGAUACCCCAGUAGUCCUAGCUGUAAACGAUGGAUACUAGGUGUAGCUUGUAUCGACCCGAGCUGUGCCGAAGCUAACGCGUUAAGUAUCCCGCCUGGGGAGUACGCACGCAAGUGUGAAACUCAAAGGAAUUGACGGGGGCCCGCACAAGCGGUGGAGUAUGUGGUUUAAUUCGAUGCAACGCGAAGAACCUUACCAGGGCUUGACAUGUCCGGAAUCCCGGUGAAAGCUGGGAGUGCCUUCGGGAGCCGGAACACAGGUGGUGCAUGGCUGUCGUCAGCUCGUGUCGUGAGAUGUUGGGUUAAGUCCCGCAACGAGCGCAACCCUCGUCUUUAGUUGCCAGCAUUAAGUUGGGCACUCUAGAGAGACUGCCGGUGACAAACCGGAGGAAGGUGGGGAUGACGUCAAGUCAGCAUGCCCCUUACGCUCUGGGCGACACACGCACUACAAUGGUCGGGACAGAGGGCAGCGGACCUGCGAAGGCAAGCUAAUCCCAGCAAACUCGGCCUCAGUUCAGAUCGCAGGCUGCAACUCGCCUGCGUGAAGGAGGAAUCGCUAGUAAUCGCCGGUCAGAAUACGGCGGUGAAUCCGUUCCCGGGCCUUGUACACACCGCCCGUCACACCAUGGAAGCUGGCCACGCCCGAAGUCGUUACCCUAACCUUUCGGGGAAGGGGACGCCGAAGGCAGGGUUGGUGACU